This is a non-coding RNA of Megalopta genalis, 867 nucleotides long. NCBI's taxonomy places the organism in Eukaryota, Metazoa, Arthropoda, Insecta, Hymenoptera, Halictidae. The record is from RefSeq and is a predicted model, not a curated record.
CAAGUUUGAAGAAUAUGAUACAAUAUUUUCAUUUGAAAGGUCUCAGUCCAACCAAUAUCAAAAUUGAGGUAAAUUCUACUCUAGGGGAGCCUGCUCCUUCGUUUAGAAUAAUAAAAUAUUAGGUGGCAGAAUUUAAACGAGGCCGUACAAACUGCCAAGACGAAUACCGCAGUGGUCGACCAAAUGAAGUGACCACACCGGAAAUAUUGAAAAAAAUCCACAAAACGUUAUUGGAUGAUCGUCGACUGGAAGUGCGCGAGUUUGCAGACAUGGAAUAAAGCCGAGUUUUUGCGUCGAUUCAUAACUAUGGGUGAAACCUGGGUUCAUCACAUCACACCUGAGGGGUGAACCAGCUCCAAAGAAGGCGAAGACUGUUCCAUCUGCUGGUAAGGUCAUGACGUCAGUUUUUUGGGAUGCGCGUGGAAUAAUUUUCAUUGAUUAUCUUAAAAAAGGAAACACGAUCAACGGCGAGUAUUAUGCGAAUUUACUGCAGCGUUUGAGUGACAAAAUCAAGGAAAAACGGCCGCAUUUGGCGAAAAAGAAAAUGUUGUUUCAUGAAGACAAUGCACCAAUUCACACAUCCGUCAUCGUGAUGGCCAAAAUCCAGCAGUUCGAAUUGCUCCUCACGCACCCUAUUCGCUGAACUUAGCUCCCUCGGAUUAUUUUCUCUUUCCAAACUUGAAAAAAUGGCUCGGUGGUAAAAAAAUUUUCCAGUGAUAAAGAGGUGGAGUCUGCGGUUAAUGGCUAUUUUGAGGAGCUCGAUGGUUCUCACUAUAAACAGGAUAUCGAAGCUAUUGAACACCGCUUGGAAAAGUGUACCCAGCUAAAAGAAAAUUAUAUUGAAAAAUAAAGAUAUUUGUUCCCAAA